This 500-nucleotide non-coding RNA is filed under the name uncultured Glomus. RNAcentral's name for it is "SSU rRNA". It matches the Rfam family "Eukaryotic small subunit ribosomal RNA", at positions 591 to 1092 of the family's 1831-position model. The record is from RNAcentral. Lineage: Eukaryota; Fungi; Glomeromycota; Glomeromycetes; Glomerales; Glomeraceae. RNAcentral also lists the same sequence under 1 other name.
CCAAUAGCGUAUAUUAAAGUUGUUGCAGUUAAAAAGCUCGUAGUUGAAUUUCGGGGUUAGUAGGUUGGUCAUGCCUCUGGUAUGUACUGAUCUCACUGAUUCCUCCUUCCUUAUGAACCGUAAUGCCAUUAAUUUGGUGUUGCGGGGAAUUUGGACUGUUACUUUGAAAAAAUUAGAGUGUUUAAAGCAGGCUAACGCUUGAAUACAUUAGCAUGGAAUAAUGAAAUAGGACGUUCGAUCUUAUUUUGUUGGUUUCUAGGAUUGACGUAAUGAUUAAUAGGGAUAGUUGGGGGCAUUAGUAUUCAAUUGUCAGAGGUGAAAUUCUUGGAUUUAUUGAAGACUAACUACUGCGAAAGCAUUUGCCAAGGAUGUUUUCAUUAAUCAAGAACGAAAGUUAGGGGAUCGAAGACGAUCAGAUACCGUCGUAGUCUUAACCAUAAACUAUGCCGACUAGGGAUCGGAUGAUGUUAAUUUUUUAAUGACUCAUUCGGCGCCUUACG